CACAAACUCUCAGCCUUUUUUAAACUCACCACGAUUCUUAAUUCCAUGCAUCCUAAUCUAUCUACAUGGAUUACCAUUGAACUUUAAAAACUCAAAGACAAUAUAAGGUGAAGGUCACUCUCCUCCACUGUUCUUUUGGCCGAAACACCUGGGAGACAAUUGGCAAGGACUGCCCAAAAUGGUGACAUGUCAUCAUCAAGGGAAUGGGCCAAAUGGAAAAAAACAGACGUCUAGAGGCAGAGAUCAGAUGUCAAAUGAGGUGGGAAGACAUGAUUGAGUUUGGAUCAAUGUGGACAUUACACCUAUAAACAGCGUGGAUUUGAGAGACUCCAAAAACUCAUGGCAAGUAUUUCUGUUCUUGUUCUGCUCAGCACACAUCACCAAGUUCCAACUAAAUGAGAAAAAAUGUGUAUAUUUUCUUCUAACAGUAUCAUUCGAGAUGUACCAACAUUUGCUGUACUGAUUCACUUAGCGGUCAACUAAAAUGUAGCAGCUAAUUGCAACUCAUUUUCUUGUAUUUCUUUCCAUUGUUUAUACAUGACUCAUUAGAACCAAGAACUUGUAACUAUACCAGGGCCAGAGCUACGCUAACUACGCUGCUAAAGUUGCAUGGUAUUUUGAUAUCAAUUUUUCUCUUUAAUAAGACCGUGCCAAAGUCUUUUACUUUUCUUAUAGCAGAACACCAGCAUUUAUUAGUGAUAUCGCCCUGAGUUAGUGAUAUCUUCCUGGUAUAGGCCACAACAGAAUUUAUCAUUUUCUGCUUUCUGAAUGGUGAAAAUGUGCUUGCUAUUGUUAAGUAUAAUAAAUAUGUCUAGUUCUGAUUUUGAUGUUGUCAAAGAAGUAAUGUACAAUUGAAGAAACUUGCUACAU
This is a long non-coding RNA of Octopus bimaculoides (California two-spot octopus), 870 nucleotides long. RefSeq lists it as uncharacterized. The record is from RefSeq and is a predicted model, not a curated record. NCBI's taxonomy places the organism in Eukaryota, Metazoa, Mollusca, Cephalopoda, Octopoda, Octopodidae.